Molecule: ribosomal RNA, 229 nt
Filed under: uncultured bacterium
Lineage: Bacteria
Description: partial 16S ribosomal RNA
Rfam family: Bacterial small subunit ribosomal RNA
Source: RNAcentral
UGAGCAACCUGCCCUUGACUCCGGAACAACAGCUGGAAACAGCUGCUAAUACCGGAUAUGACCUCCGAUGGCAUCAUCUGGAGGUGGAAAGCUCCGGCGGUCAAGGAUGGGCUCGCGGCCUAUCAGCUUGUUGGUGGGGUAAUGGCCCACCAAGGCGACGACGGGUAGCCGGCCUGAGAGGGUGACCGGCCACACUGGGACUGAGACACGGCCCAGACUCCUAGGGAGG